Molecule: long non-coding RNA, 391 nt
Filed under: Bos indicus x Bos taurus (hybrid cattle)
Lineage: Eukaryota; Metazoa; Chordata; Mammalia; Artiodactyla; Bovidae
Description: lncRNA (ENSBIXG00000020497.1)
Source: RNAcentral
AUGGAUCCACUUCUCUUGGCAAAUAUCUGUCGACGACAACCCACAACAUAUCUCGGUCCAUUUGUAACUUUAACAAUGAAUUUUUCUUCAGUUAACUGCUUAAGUACUUCACCCACAAUCUGCCCAACACUUUGUAGAGCCUUCAGAUCAUUUUCAGACUUUUCAUACUGCUUGGUAAGUUCUUUUAAUUGUUCCCUUAACUCCUUGAGACGGCCGUCAAUCUCUUUGUUCUCCAGCAGUUUCUUGCGGUAGUCCUGAAGCGCCUUAUCUCUAGGGUCCGCCAUGAUGAGAAGCCGUCGCUCAUAGGGGAUGCCGGGAAUGGCCAUGGCCGCCCGGGCGGGGGAAGGGGCGGGGCCUCCCUUUGACCUUUUUACUCUUCUCCGCCCUGCUC